GAUGAACGCUGGCGGCGUGCCUCAAACAUGCAAGUCGAGCGGGGCUAUGUAAUAUCGCAAGGUAGAACAUAGCCUAGCGGCGAACGGGUGAGUAACACGUGGGUAACCUGCCUGGAAGACAGGGAUAACGAUUCGAAAGGGUCGCUAAUACCUGAUAAUAUCCUUUCAUCGCAUGGUGAUAGGAAGAAAGGGGAAACCCGCUUUCAGAUGGGCCCGCGUCCCAUCAGCUAGUUGGUAAGGUAAAGGCUUACCAAGGCGACGACGGGUAGCCGGUCUGAGAGGAUGUACGGCCACACUGGAACUGAGACACGGUCCAGACUCCUACGGGGGGCAGCAGUGGGGAAUCUUAGGCAAUGGACGAAAGUCUGACCUAGCGACGCCGCGUGAGGGAAGAAGGCCUUCGGGUUGUAAACCUCUGUCAUGGGGGAAGAAGUAAGUGACGGUACCCCAAGAGGAAGCCCCUGCUAACUACGUG
Molecule: ribosomal RNA, 475 nt
Filed under: uncultured bacterium
Lineage: Bacteria
Description: bacterial SSU rRNA
Rfam family: Bacterial small subunit ribosomal RNA
Source: RNAcentral